This 279-nucleotide ribosomal RNA is filed under the name uncultured bacterium. Its description in RNAcentral is "partial 16S ribosomal RNA". It matches the Rfam family "Bacterial small subunit ribosomal RNA", at positions 28 to 307 of the family's 1533-position model. The record is from RNAcentral.
GACGAACGCUGGCGGCGUGCUUAACACAUGCAAGUCGAGCGGUAAGGCCCUUUCGGGGUACGACGAGCGGCGAACGGGUGAGUAACACGUGGGUGACCUGCCCUUAGCUCUGGGAUAAGCCUGGGAAACUGGGUCUAAUACCGGAUAUGACUCCAUAACGCAUGUUGUGGGGUGGAAAGCCUUGUGCGGCUAGGGAUGGGCCCGCGGCCUAUCAGCUUGUUGGUGGGGUGAUGGCCACCAAGGCGACGACGGGUAGCCGGCCCGUGAGAGGGCGACCGG